This 472-nucleotide ribosomal RNA is filed under the name Mantidactylus argenteus (Folohy Madagascar frog). Its description in RNAcentral is "partial 12S ribosomal RNA". The stretch from base 1 to 394 matches the Rfam family "Bacterial small subunit ribosomal RNA", at positions 949 to 1533 of the family's 1533-position model. The record is from RNAcentral. Lineage: Eukaryota; Metazoa; Chordata; Amphibia; Anura; Mantellidae.
AAUCGAUAAUCCUCGAUAUACCUCACCAUUUUUUGCCUUUCAGCCUGUAUACCUCCGUCGCAAGCUUACCAUUUGAAUGCCUUAAAGUAAGCCCAAUUGGACCCAGUACGCCAACACGUCAGGUCAAGGUGCAGCCCAUAAAAUGGAAAGAAAUGGGCUACAAUUUCUAAUAUAGAACAAACGAAAAACUACAUGAAACAUAGUCAUGAAGGCGGAUUUAGUAGUAAAAGAAGAGCAGCAAGCUUCUUUUAACAAGGCUCUGGGACGUGUACAAACCGCCCGUCACCCUCUUCAACAGCACUCUCUCAGCUUAAUAACACACAUUUCGCACCUUAGAAGAGGCAAGUCGUAACAUGGUAAGUGUACUGGAAAGUGCACUUGGUAAACAAAGUAUAGCUUAACUAAAGCCUUCCGCUUACACCGAAAAAACAUCUGUGAAACCCAGAUUACUUUGACUACUAUAAACCUAGCC